Molecule: long non-coding RNA, 2059 nt
Organism: Nilaparvata lugens (brown planthopper)
Lineage: Eukaryota; Metazoa; Arthropoda; Insecta; Hemiptera; Delphacidae
Exons: 3
Source: RefSeq, a predicted model, not a curated record
UUGCCUUGUUUAUUCUAGACAAUCCUUGUUAGUGAAUAAUACUUUUUCUAUUCUAUUCCUAUUGACUUCGAAUUACGUGAAAUGUUAUAAAAAUGUUGAAGUGCAUGCGACCAAAUUAUUUAUCAUAAAAAAUGGACGAAACGCCGAAGCCUCAUCAAAGUCGCCGACGCUUUAGACACAAAAGUGGACGCAGAUUGAAACUUAGCGCGAAACCGCUUAAACGAAGAGGAACAGCGUUAAUUCAAUACUGGGCUUCCAAAAGGUAAGCUAAUAUUUGAUACACAUCCAUAAUUUCCUUCAUCAAGAACCAUAACAAUCAAUAUAUCUCCAUUUGUAAUUUGAGUAAUAAAGCUUCAAUUCUCAAUCGAAUAUACAAUUAUACAUGUCAACGUUUUUAGAAAUAUUGAACAGUUUCACGAUUCUAUGCUAUGAAAGCUCAGGGAACUUGGAAAACACCCAUUCAAAAAAUGUCAAUUGUCAAUUACGAAUAGUGUAAUCGGCAGACCUAUUUUACACUAAUUUUACUGCAUUUUCCAUAAUAUAUUUUCACUAUUUUUUGAAUGGGAAAUUCGUCAUUGCCACCUAUGAAUAGUCCUAUUGAUCUUGUUUUUUUUUUUGUAAUUCCAGGGGCAGAGGCAGAAGUGAAGCUCAGACCGAAGAGUAUAAUGACUCCGAAAAUUCUACGAUAAAUACGGCCUCUGACGCAGAUUUCGUCGCUGAAGAAAGCAAUGUCUGUGACACUUGUCCAGAAAACAAAGACGUUUACGACACUCAUACAGAAAUAAUUGCAGAAGAAAGAAAAAGAACAGAAAGCAGCAUCACCAAAUUAGAAGGUAGACGAAUAGUGGACAUCAAUUCGUUUAUUGUGCAAAUUCAACAAAUCGAUGACUACUUACCAUUUCAUUGCGGUUUUAAAGAUAUGGUAGUAGUGAAAGAACGAAAUGUAGUUCGCGAACUAUUGUAUGGGGGCGGUAAAAAUUGUUCAGCAAUGGAGUAUGGGAGGAUGAACGAGGAGGCUGCUCUAAAAAAGUUAGUGAGAUAGCUGGACAAAAAAUUUUGAAAUGUGGGCUAUUCAUUGAUGCCGAUUUUCCAUUUCUGGCAGCAUCGCCGGAUGGAUUAUUAGAAGAUGGGCAUGGUAUUGUGGAGGUCAAAUGCCCUCAGACAAUAAAGGACCUACUCCCAAGGGAAGCAGCAAAGUUGAAAAUAUUGAAAUUUUGCAAAAUUGAAGAUACAAAUAUCGAAUUGAACACAAACCAUAACUACUACUAUCAAAUACAGGGACAACUCCACAUUACGAAACGUCAGUACUGCUUAUUUUGUAUAUGGUCGCCAAAGGGGACAGAAGUUGUUACUGUAUACAAAGAUGAGCAGUUCUGGAGUUCGAAGAUUCUUGAACAAGUGAAAAAAUUUUAUAUGGACUGUGUAUUGCCGGAACUUGUUGAUCCUCGACACACGCGUUCAAUGCCAAUUCAAAAUCCAGAUUGGAUUAUUGAGGCGCAAGAAGCACGUAAGAAGAAAUAAUGAUGACACAAACAUAACUGGAAAAUAAAAACAAAUAUUGUCACAUACCACUUAUUUAUUAUUAAAACUUACAUUGAAGUAUUAUUAAAGUAAUACUUUAUUAAAGUAAACUUACAUUAAAGUAAUGUACCUAGGUUUCAUAAUGGCCUAGGCUUACAUUACUUUAAUGUAAGUUUUAAUAAUAAAUAAGUGGUAUGUGCCAAUAUUUGUUUUUAUUUUCCAUUAUGGAGAAAUACCACAACAUCUCCUCAAACACAAUCAAUUAUACAAACAUAACUAUUCUUCCUUUUCUCCUUUUAUAGUAGUAGUUAUGGUUUGUGUUCAAUUCUAUAUUUGUGUCUUCAAUUUUGCAAAAUUUCAAUAUUUUCAUUUUUAACAAAAUCAUUUUUCAUUGUUCAUUGCACCGGUAAGGGCAUUUGUGCAGAGAGAAAAAGAGAAAGAAACGAGUGAGAGCGAGGAGGAGAAUGAGAAGAUUUAGAACGGAAAGAGUGAGGAGAAGUGGAUGGAAAAGAGGGAGAAGAAGAAUAAGGGGAAAAGA